GACGAACGCUGGCGGCGUGCUUAACACAUGCAAGUCGAGCGAGGCCCCUCCUUCGGGAGGGUGUCCUAGCGGCGAACGGGUGAGUAACACGUGGGCAACCUGCCCUCAGCUCUGGGAUAACUCCGGGAAACCGGGGCUAAUACCGGAUACGACCUCCACGGGCAUCUGCGGAGGUGGAAAGUUUUUCGGCUGGGGAUGGGCCCGCGGCCUAUCAGCUAGUUGGUGGGGUAGUGGCCCACCAAGGCGACGACGGGUAGCCGGCCUGAGAGGGCGACCGGCCACACUGGGACUGAGACACGGCCCAGACUCCUACGGGAGGCAGCAGUGGGGAAUAUUGCGCAAUGGGCGAAAGCCUGACGCAGCGACGCCGCGUGAGGGACGAAGGCCUUCGGGUUGUAAACCUCUUUCAGCAGGGACGAAGCGAAAGUGACGGUACCUGCAGAAGAAGCACCGGCCAACUACGUG
RNAcentral lists this ribosomal RNA (465 nucleotides) under uncultured bacterium. Its description in RNAcentral is "partial 16S ribosomal RNA". It matches the Rfam family "Bacterial small subunit ribosomal RNA", at positions 28 to 507 of the family's 1533-position model. The record is from RNAcentral.